GUCCACGCCCUAAACGAUGUCAACUGGUUGUUGGGUCUUCACUGACUCAGUAACGAAGCUAACGCGUGAAGUUGACCGCCUGGGGAGUACGGCCGCAAGGUUGAAACUCAAAGGAAUUGACGGGAGCCCGCACAAGCAGUGGAGUAUGUGGUUUAAUUCGACGCAACGACGAAAACCUUACCAAGGAUUGACAUCCUAAGAAGACCGAGUAAUGUUGGUUGUGCCUCUUCGGAGGAACUUAGAGACAGGUGGUGCAUGGUUGUCGU
RNAcentral lists this ribosomal RNA (266 nucleotides) under uncultured bacterium. RNAcentral's name for it is "partial 16S ribosomal RNA". It matches the Rfam family "Bacterial small subunit ribosomal RNA", at positions 793 to 1055 of the family's 1533-position model. The record is from RNAcentral.